Gopherus evgoodei (Goodes thornscrub tortoise) is the source of this 2785-nucleotide long non-coding RNA. RefSeq lists it as uncharacterized. The transcript has 3 exons. NCBI's taxonomy places the organism in Eukaryota, Metazoa, Chordata, Testudines, Testudinidae. The record is from RefSeq and is a predicted model, not a curated record.
GAAUGCCAGGCCAUGGUGGACAUCAAGGAAGUUAAGUCUCUUAUCUUCAGAAGACGCAUGAGGCGGUUUGUCCAAGCGGGCCAGGGAGGAAUUGGCAGGAGUACAGGACCGGCAUCAUCAGCAUACCCCAAGGAUUCCAGAAUGACCAUUGAGCAGCCCACUAUCCCUGCUGCCAUGCCACUACUGCAGAUGCCGCACCAGUCUCACGGGCCAGCAGUGAUUCAACCCUUCUUGGCUAAGCUCCUGCUCUGACUCAGAUCAUCCCCCCCCCCCCCCCCGAUGACUAGGGUAGAGCUGUGGAAGCGUGACUCUACCAACUGACCCUCACCGAUGAUCGCUGAGAAGAGAGUGAGGAUCAGUGCCUGCUCAACGAGUGGUAUCAGAGAGGCCUCCGAAUGCUAGAUGGUGAUCAUGCCUGGCAGAAUGGCAAGAGUAACCUCUCGACUAUCUAUUGGAGCUCAACUGUCUCUGCAGAGAUACCAGUGCGACUAUCUCCUCUGAUUCACCUGAGUCCAAGAAUUGCUCCAUCAGUAGUGGUGGUGUAGUUGGUACCAGGGGACGUCUGCCAGAUGUUGGAGGUCAUGGAACCAAAUGAAGGACAAUUCCAACUCAGGCCACGUGGCAGGAGAGAAGCAACUGGAGAGGCGCUGACCUGCACUGCCUCUUAUUUGGUUGGGUGCAAAAGGAUAGUCAUUACACAUGUGUGGACCAAGACACUGCUCUGAAGAAUUUUUUAGACUUGGGUGCAUGGUGCACAUGUGCACCCCACAUGUAGAACACACACAGGGAUCAUCACUCAAAGAACAGCGGUUACUGUAACCUGUGGAUAGACUAGUCCCUUCAAAACUCCCAUGACCAUAGGGGGGUAGUGGUGGUGGUGAUGGGGAGGACUGGUCUUGAAAGGCCGAGAUGGACACCAGAUGGAUUUUAAUGAGCUCAUUAGUAGGCCUGACUCUUUCAGUUUAGUAGAGUGUUCUAAUAUCUUGAAUCUAUAAAGCAGAUCUGGAUGCUCUGUCUCCAUCAAGAACCUUUUCCACUUAGAUAGGUAGCUUUUAUGGAUUCACAGGGUCUGGGAUAUGCCCCAGUCUGUAGCCAAUCCCUUGGGAGUGACCCCUUGUGUGUCCUGGACCCAAACGAUUACACAGAGUUCCACAAGGGUAGGACCUUGCCUCCAUGACUCUGAAAAAGCCGGACCUUUGGGCACCAGCAAUCCUCGUCUCUCUCCCUGGCUCUCUGCAACGAAUCCAGUCAAGCCAGACUCCUGCUGGAGGCUUCUCCAUACCCCUUCGGGGCACAAUGCUCAGUCAGUAUAUGCAGCCACCCCAGGUAAUCUUUUCAAAACAAGGUAGUGAUGUACUAGUCACCUGGCAUGCAAUUUUGAAAUACAGAGAAGCAAAGGUUAAGAAAGAGUUCAGUCUGGCUAAAGCCAGGGCACUCAGAUACAUACUGCUGUAGGAACUAACUGUGAUUCAUUUUUGUCUACCAGACAUGUGUCUCUGUUAGCAGAGCUCUUAAUACAGACACCUGACCUCUCGUUUUACAGCCAUGCUUUUUUCACAUGUUCAGCUGCCUCUGCAGCUAGGUGUUAAUAUUAGUCAUUGAGGUUAUCAUUCUCUCUGUCAGGUCUUCCAUUCAAAUGUGUUGAUUCCAGCCCACACAGUCCUAGUAGCUUUAUGGCAGGGGUGGCCAAACCACACAUGGCUCUUUUACUGUUAAAAUGCAGCUCAUGGAAUCCCACCUCAUACCCCUUUCCCCGUUUUCCACCUACCAGACAGGGAGGUGGGAGAGGGGAAGGGGGAAGCUUGGGACCUCUGACUUGCAGCGGAGUAGUGGCUUGUGGCAUCUGCUUAGCAGGGAGGGAAGAUCUCGAGGUGCGCUCCAGCUCUCGAACUUCUGAAGAUUGUCCUACGUGGCUCAUAAUGUGAGUAAGUUUGAGAUAUAUAUAGCAGGGGUGGCCAAAUACCUAGACUGAUUUCCCAUGUCCUAUGGAGAAAAUGAAUUAUUUCCCCCAAAUGGUAACGAUGCCAAGGUCCGAAGUCAUAUAGACAGCUCAAAUAUAUUACAGAAAAUUCCCACAUUUGUCACAGUAGCUCUAGAAGAAUGUCUUUCUACUAAUUAACAUCUUCUGAAACAGCUGAAAAUAGAUUCUAUCUAUAGCUGUUAGCCUCCCACCAUCCACGCUGUGAGGCUGAGACUGCAUGGAUUGGAGUGCAGCACCUGACUGUAAUGCUAUGAUAUAUAGAGAGGACUGGUAACAUGAAUAGAGGUUGGACUGACAGGGUCUGCAGGUCCAAGUACUAAUACUAUCUCAGCCAAGCUGGGGCCAUGAGAUAGCAUUAUGGAGUGUUCUUGUUUCAGCUUUCUGUUUACUUUGGGAAUCAGUGGAUUGGAGGGUAUUCUUACAGGAACUCCAGUUCCCAGGAUACUAGGAAUGCAUCUUUUACACAGCUUGGGCUAUGAUCAGCCAUGGAACAGAAGCAGCUGCAUUUCUUCUAGUCUUUGGUUGCAAAUCAGUUCAUAUUGGGAAAUCCUCAGCUCUGGAAGACUGCCCACAGUAUCUUGUUCUCCAGAGACUGAUCAUGACUUCCAAUGAACUUCCUGCUGAGAUGAUUUUUUUAAAAAUUGUGUACAAUAUUCUUAAAAUAAAAAUUAAAGACACUUCGGCCAACAAAUCCCCCUAAUUUUUUCCUCACAAAUGUUAGCUUUACGCUUUCAGUUGCUUGUCUGAAAUAAAAAGUUCCAGCAGUUAAGGAUUUUAUUCUGUAUUUGACUUCUAGAGAAUGAA